Molecule: ribosomal RNA, 436 nt
Filed under: uncultured bacterium
Lineage: Bacteria
Description: partial 16S ribosomal RNA
Rfam family: Bacterial small subunit ribosomal RNA
Source: RNAcentral
ACGGAAGGCAGCAGUGGGGAAUAUUGGGCAAUGGGGGAAACCCUGACCCAGCAACGCCGCGUGGAGGAAGAAGGUCUUCGGAUCGUAAACUCCUGUCCUCAAAGACGAGAAGAAGACGGUAUUUGAGGAGGAAGCCCCGGCUAACUACGUGCCAGCAGCCGCGGUAAUACGUAGGGGGCAAGCGUUGUCCGGAAUGACUGGGCGUAAAGGGCGUGUAGGCGGCCGAUUAAGUCUGAAGUGAAAGUCCUGCUUUCAAGGUGGGAAUUGCUUUGGAGACUGGUUGGCUUGAGUGCGGAAGAGGUAAGUGGAAUUCCCAGUGUAGCGGUGAAAUGCGUAGAGAUUGGGAGGAACACCAGUGGCGAAGGCGACUUACUGGGCCGUAACUGACGCUGAGGCGCGAAAGCGUGGGUAGCAAACAGGAUUAGAUACCCUGGUA